GAUGAACGCUAGCGGCAGGCUUAAUACAUGCAAGUCGAGGGGCAGCACGGUUAGCAAUAACUGGUGGCGACCGGCGCACGGGUGCGUAACACGUAUACAAUCUACCUUAAACAGGGGGAUAGCCUUUCGAAAGAGAGAUUAAUACCCCGUAAUAAAUUGAACGGCAUCGUUUGAUUUUGAAAGCUCCGGCGGUUUGAGAUGAGUAUGCGUCUGAUUAGCUAGUUGGUGAGGUAACGGCUCACCAAGGCGACGAUCAGUAGGGGAUCUGAGAGGACUAACCCCCACACUGGUACUGAGACACGGACCAGACUCCUACGGGAGGCAGCAGUAAGGGAAUAUUGGUCAAUGGAGGGCAACUCUGAACCAGCCAUGCCGCGUGCAGGAUGACGGCCCUACUGGGUUGGUAAACUAGCUUUUAUUACAAGAGAAAACCCUA
RNAcentral lists this ribosomal RNA (436 nucleotides) under uncultured bacterium. RNAcentral describes it as "bacterial SSU rRNA". It matches the Rfam family "Bacterial small subunit ribosomal RNA", at positions 28 to 456 of the family's 1533-position model. The record is from RNAcentral.